GGUCUAUCAUAUAAAAAAUUAUUGUAGGGAUGUAUAGCAAUAAAAAAAUCACAACUAGAAUUUGCCCACCCAGGUGGUACCGAUAUGUGAAAUUUUGGUUCUUGGCUCAAGUGCUAUGAUACCUGAAAGAACUGCUCCACCAUCAAAUUGGGCCACUCCCACUUCAUCAACUCAUUUAAUUAGACACAGGUUUGAUUCAUUUAUAGAAAAGAGCAGUGUGACCCAAAAAGAGUGUGACUUUUAAUGUGCUUUUGACUUUCUGUGUUGCUUUUGGAGUUAACAAAAAAUCGCCUAUUGAGGAAAAUAACAAAAUGAGAAAAAAUAUAAAAAGCUACCCCUAUGAAAAGUCUAUCAUAUUUUAAUUUACUUAUAUUGACCCUAAAAACAAUUUAGAAUAUGUAAGGUUUUGUCCACCCAAGUGGUACCGACAUCUGGUCUGGCUCAAGGACUAAAUAGCGCUUUUAAAGAAACUAGUGAGCACAAUGUGAUACAAUUCCUUUACACUAAAGGCUAUACAACACAAUCUGACACCAUAAAACACAGUAUAAUACUUUACAUUAUACAGCGUAAUAUACUAUGAUACUAUGAUUUAAUGUGGCAAUAUCAUUCAAAAUUAUAUAUGACAUGAGAUAAAAAGGGGUUGGAUUAAAACUAUUAAAAUUAAUACGAUAAUGUAUGGUGCCCCCGAUGAAACAAUAUUAUGAAUAAAACAUUCUAUGGCAUAGUGUGAUAUGAUAUGAUAAGGCAUAUGAUGUGAUAUGACUUAAAAACACCUUGUGAUAAGACAUUAUGAUAUGAUAUCAUUUCAUGACUUGAUUUUUAAUAUUUUACAAUACAACAUGAUAUUUAAUUGGAACUUUUAUUGUGAGAUAUAAUAUGACAUGAUACAACAUGGCAUGAUGUGAUAUAACUGGAAAGGGUACAAUACAAUAUUAAAAACUAUGAAUUACACAAUCUCAUGUGGUUUGACCUAAUGGAAAACAAUAAACUGAUGAUAUGAUAUGA
This is a non-coding RNA of Xyrichtys novacula (pearly razorfish), 1005 nucleotides long. The record is from the annotation of a GenBank genome assembly. NCBI's taxonomy places the organism in Eukaryota, Metazoa, Chordata, Actinopteri, Labriformes, Labridae.